Oncorhynchus tshawytscha (Chinook salmon) is the source of this 584-nucleotide long non-coding RNA. The record is from Ensembl. NCBI's taxonomy places the organism in Eukaryota, Metazoa, Chordata, Actinopteri, Salmoniformes, Salmonidae.
GAAGGGGUAGCGAGAGAGAAGAGAGGAGGGGUAGAGAGAAAGAGGGGGUAGCGAGAGAGAAGAGGGGUAGAGAGAAAGAAGGGGUAGCGAGAGAGAAGAGAGGAGGGGUAGAGAGAAAGAGGGGGUAGCGAGAGAGAAGAGGGAGGGGGGUAGAGAGAAAGAGGGGGUAGCGAGAGAGAAGAGAGAGAGAGGAGGGGUAGAGAGAAAGAAGGGAGAGAGGAGGGGUAGAGAGAGAGAAGAGAGAGAGAAGGGGUAGAGAGAAAGAGUGGGUAGCGAGAGAGAAGAGAGAGAGGGGGUGGGGUAGAGAGAGAGAAGAGAGAGAGGAGGGGUAGAGAGAAAGAGGGGGGUAGAGAGAGAGAAGAGAGAGAGGAGGGGUAGAGAGAAAGAGUGGGUAGUGAGAGAGGGGGGUAGAGAGAGAGAAGAGAGAGAGAAGGGGGUGGCGAGAGAGAAGCGCGAAAAGAGAGAGAAAGUGACAGGACAACCAGAGGGGGGCACUGUAGGGCCGUCACUUCUCUCUCCUCUUCUCUGCACAGACAGUUUAACAAAUGUGGGUGGCAAACUCAGAGACAUGUCCUCUCUCUCUC